UAUCCUGUAUAUGUCCUGGUGACAUAGUGAAGGUUAUGUUGUGGAGGGUAGUAUCCUGUAUAUGUCCUGGUGACAUAGUGAAGGUUAUGUUGUGGAGGGUAGUAUCCUGUAUAUGUCCUGGUGACAUAGUGAAGGUUAUGUUGUGGAGGGUAGUAUCCUGUAUAUGUCCUGGUGACAUAGUGAAGGUUAUGCUGUGGAGGGUAGUAUUCUGUAUAUGUCCUGGUGACAUAGUGAAAGUUAUGUUGUGGAGGGUAGUAUCCUGUAUAUGUCAUGGUGACAUAGUGAAGGUUAUGUUGUAGAGGGUAGUAUCCUGUAUAUGUCCUGGUGACAUAGUGUUGUGGAGGGUAGUAACCUGUAUAUGUCCUGGUGACAUAGUGUUGUAGAGGGUAGUAUCCUGUAUAUGUCCUGGUGACAUAGUGAAGGUUAUGUUGUGGAGGGUAGUAUCCUGUAUAUGUCCUGGUGACAUAGUGGAG
Molecule: long non-coding RNA, 473 nt
Filed under: Salmo salar (Atlantic salmon)
Lineage: Eukaryota; Metazoa; Chordata; Actinopteri; Salmoniformes; Salmonidae
Description: lncRNA (ENSSSAG00000116486.1)
Source: RNAcentral